GACGAACGCUGGCGGCGUGCUUAACACAUGCAAGUCGAACGGAAAGGCCUGCUUUCCCUUGUGGUUUGCGGGUACUCGAGUGGCUAACGGGUGAGUAACACGUGAGUGAUCUGCCCCCAACUUGGGUAUAAGCCUGGGAAACUGGGUCUAAUUCCCGAUAGGACUGCAGGGUGGUGCCUGUGGUGGAAAACGAUUUUCUAGUGGUUGGGGAUGAGCUCGCGGCGUAUCAGCUUGUUGGCGGGGUAAUGGCCUACCAAGGCGGCGACGGGUAGCCGGCCUGAGAGGGUGGACGGCCACAUUGGGACUGAGAUACGGCCCAGACGCCUACGGGAGGCAGCAGUGGGGAAUAUUGCACAAUGGGCGGAAGCCUGAUGCAGCGACGCCGCGUGGGGGAUGACGGCCUUCGGGUUGUAAACUCCUUUCGACCGAGAGGAAGCCACCUGGUUGGAAGGGUGGUGACGGUAGUGGUAGAAGAAGCACCGGCUAACUACGUG
This 494-nucleotide ribosomal RNA is filed under the name uncultured bacterium. RNAcentral describes it as "partial 16S ribosomal RNA". It matches the Rfam family "Bacterial small subunit ribosomal RNA", at positions 28 to 507 of the family's 1533-position model. The record is from RNAcentral.